GACCAAAUUCAAGGGCCAAUGUAUAGAAAUCUCUACUCCUAAUGAAGCAGUUGGUAGUCUCGCUUCCAGGUUUUUUUUCAUCCCGGUUUUUUUUUGUCCCACCUCCCACCAUCAUGUUUCUUUGGUUUUUUUCGUAUGGUUUUUUCACCUCCCCACGAUCGGUCCGCUCACACACCGCCCACAGAAACAAUCCAUCGCCACCCACGACUCCCUCACCCUGACUAGGGUUCCUAGCCCUAUCCUCCGCCGCCGUUGCGUGUUCCCGUCUGACAUCGCCCGAGCGCUUUGUUGACCUCGCCGGGAGCAGCCAGCUGGAUCACGCCGCCAUGCCUCCCUCUCUCCCUUCUCUUCUUUUCCCCUACCUUCUCUCUCUCCUCUGAACUGCGCAUCGCUCCUGUUAGAGGCCGGGGACACCUCGGCACACGCCGCCUACCGGGAGACGCCGGUGCUGGACAGGGAUAGCCAGGCAGCCGUGCGCGUGCAAGGUCGGUUCGCGGCACUGCCUCGUCCAGCCCAAGCCGCUCAUCCGCGUCGCCGUGUUCGCUCAAGCCGUUGCGUCCCGUGGAGGAGGGAGCAGGCACAUGAACGCGGGCGCCGCUGGAGAUGUUGAUGAAAAGCAGAGGAAUUUCAUUCCGUUGAUGCUUCAGCAAUCCUUUUAUCUCACCACGCCCACAUGCUCCGAUGAAGCAAUUCUCAACGGCGGUGGCUGGUUGACUCGUCUCAGGUCACAGUGAUUAGUGCCAAUUAGCCUGAUCGUGCAGUGAUGCCAGCUGGAUCACGCCGCCGUGCCUCCCUCUCUCCCUUCUCUUCUUUUCCCCUACCUCUCUCUCUCCUCUGAACUGCUCCUCUCUGCAGGUGCCGCCAUGGCCGCGUCUUGGAGCUCGCCGCCGUGGGCUGCGCGCCCCUUCGAUGACAGCCUUCCUCGCCCACGUCCAGGUCCUCUUAAUCCUAAUUUGACGAAUGGGAGCGGAAGCUGCAAUGUCAAGAUCCGCAAGCAGGACAUGAACCACCUUGCCAUGAAUUUCCUCGUCACAUUAGGAUUCAUCGACGCCACCAACAGGUUCUGUAUCAAUUCCGGCACCCAACGUACUGUAUGCCCACACGUUUAAAUCAUGCCGCUCUUACUCCUGCAAUACUCCAAGAAUAGUACUUGAGAUUUAGGCAGCAGUGGGCAUGGUAAUUAAUUUUUAUUUAGUUGGUUCAGUUACUAUCAUUGGAAGUGCCAGACAGAUCUCGCCGUCAAGAGUAGCGCUGCAGGGUCAUUCACCUGGUUGGCCUCUUAUGUAACUGGUGUUGUUGUGUCCAUGUGGAAGGAGAGCCCGCUUCUCCGGGACGCCGGCGCUGACAUGCUCACCGUAGGCGACUGUCAUGGCGGUGCUCGACUUCAGGGAGGAGGUCGGCAACCACCACUUCUUGGACCAAGUAAAGCUUUGCUCGCCAUUGAAAUAAUCUCGUUUCUUGUUUUUUCUCUUUCUGAUAUGAUUGAUGAUUUAUUCCAUUUGCACAAAAGGAUUCUCGAGGAAAUAGCACAAGCUAAUUCAAAAUCAUCUCUUAGUUGAUCAAGCAUGUAAUCAUAAAGUGAAGGUAGAGAAGUUUGGAAUAGUAACCUCGUGGUUUCAUUACCCACGCAUUGGAGAUCCCAUGCAAACUAUUGUGAUUUGUGAGAAGUUUCAGAAAUUUGCAAUUUGUGAGCGGCGUAAAAAUGUCAUAAAUACAGUCACAAACCCAUCAGAUCUAUGCUAUGGAUGCCGUGGUGAUUGCUGGAACGGAGGGUUCCUGGGAUGAUGAGAAGAUGAAUCUAAAUGGUCUGACGGUCUGAGUACUCGUCGGCAUGACAAGGUGACUACAGAUCCACCAUAACAUGCGAGUGGCAAUGCUCCAGGACAAGCAGCCGGUGAUGGCAUACCUUCACAGAAUGGAGUACGGCGUAGGUGUUCAAGGGUUGUAUCAGGCCGCAUGGGAAGAACCUGAAGUUGCAAGUGGAUACGGUCAAGAACAUAGUUAAAGGUGAUAUGGGAGAUAAGUUCCAUAGGCAAGCUGGAUUGAGGCUUGAUGAGCCGAACCCAAGGGACGUGCUUAGUUUCUACCACAAAAUUCUAUCAUUCACAUCAACGGAUGUUGCAAAGAAGUGGUUCAAGCAUACUUAUCCAAAACUUAUAAUCCUGAGGGAGAAGACUUUGUGAAGGAGUUCAGACUGAAUGGCCAGUUAACAAGAAUCGGGUGGAUCUGCGUGUGGUGGAUGAUCGUUUACAAGGAAUGUUGAAUGUAUGGUUCCUGCAGAUGUUCAGGUGGCGCCACGUAUUCGACCUGCGAUUUGUGAAACAGUGAAGUCACUGCCAUCGCCAAGAGAGUGGAGCAGCAUCACUAUAAGAUGUGGCGGAUUGGUGGGUCCCGGGUCAAAAAGUGCCCAAGACUCGCGCAACCAAGUUUUCUGGAGGCCGAGCAACAUGACAUAGCCACGGACAAAAUGGAGGAAGGGAAGGGUGUGGAGGAGAGGGGAAUUUACCACUUCGCGCAACGGCAACGUUGCGUGAGGGGCAUUCAUCUUCCACCUGAGCCGCAUAUGCAACUAAUUGUUCAAUAAACAUUCUUGCAAGAGCAAGAGGCUCGCCACUGUUGGUCGUUAGUACUCUUGCUUAUAAUUUCUUCACUUCAACUUAUAAGGAAACAUAGUAAUGCUUGAUGCACGACUUGAUACCUUCAAGGAUAAGCUGUCUGGAAAGCUUCUACCUGAUCAGCGAGGUAGUUGCCAUAAUACUACCU
Long non-coding RNA from Triticum dicoccoides, 2763 nucleotides. RefSeq lists it as uncharacterized. The record is from RefSeq and is a predicted model, not a curated record. NCBI's taxonomy places the organism in Eukaryota, Viridiplantae, Streptophyta, Magnoliopsida, Poales, Poaceae. The transcript has 8 exons.